CUGGGAUGGAUAGAGAGAGAGUGGGGAUGGAUGGAUGAGUCAGAGAGAAAGCGUGCGUGGGGAUGAAUAAAGAGAGGAGGGAGAUGGAUGGAUGGAUGGGUCAGAGAGAAGGUGUGUGUGGGGAUGGAUAGAGAGAGGAGGGAGAUGGAUGGAUGGGUCAGAGAGAAGGUGUGCGUGGGGAUGGAUGGAAAGAGGGUGGGGAUGGAGGGAUGGGUCAGAGAGAGGUUGUGCCUGGGGAUGGAUAGAGAGAGGAGGGGGAUGGAUGGAGGGAU
Molecule: long non-coding RNA, 272 nt
Organism: Gopherus flavomarginatus (Mexican gopher tortoise)
Lineage: Eukaryota; Metazoa; Chordata; Testudines; Testudinidae
Exons: 3
Source: RefSeq, a predicted model, not a curated record